Molecule: ribosomal RNA, 236 nt
Filed under: uncultured Lactobacillus sp.
Lineage: Bacteria; Bacillati; Bacillota; Bacilli; Lactobacillales; Lactobacillaceae
Description: partial 16S ribosomal RNA
Rfam family: Bacterial small subunit ribosomal RNA
Source: RNAcentral
UAGCCCAAGAGAUCGGGAUAACACCUGGAAACAGAUGCUAAUACCGGAUAACAACAGAUGAUGCCUAUCAACUGUUUAAAAGAUGGUUCUGCUAUCACUCUUGGAUGGACCUGCGGUGCAUUAGCUAGUUGGUAGGGUAACGGCCUACCAAGGCGAUGAUGCAUAGCCGAGUUGAGAGACUGAUCGGCCACAUUGGGACUGAGACACGGCCCAAACUCCUACGGGAGGCAGCAGCC